UACGUAGGGUGCGAGCGUUGUCCGGAAUUACUGGGCGUAAAGAGCUCGUAGGUGGUUUGUCGCGUUGUUCGUGAAAACCUGAGGCUUAACCUUGGGCGUGCGGGCGAUACGGGCAGACUGGAGUACUGCAGGGGAGACUGGAAUUCCUGGUGUAGCGGUGAAAUGCGCAGAUAUCAGGAGGAACACCGAUGGCGAAGGCAGGUCUCUGGGCAUUAACUGACGCUGAGGAGCGAAAGCAUGGGGAGCGAACAGG
This 253-nucleotide ribosomal RNA is filed under the name uncultured bacterium. RNAcentral describes it as "partial 16S ribosomal RNA". It matches the Rfam family "Bacterial small subunit ribosomal RNA", at positions 524 to 776 of the family's 1533-position model. The record is from RNAcentral.